GAUGAACGCUGGCGGCGUGCCUAACACAUGCAAGUCGAGCGCGUCUGAUUUGAUGCUUGCAUUGAUGAAAGAUGAGCGGCGGACGGGUGAGUAACGCGUGGGUAACCUGCCCUAUACACAUGGAUAACAUACUGAAAAGUUUACUAAUACAUGAUAAUAUAUAUUUACGGCAUCGUAGAUAUAUCAAAGUGUUAGCGGUAUAGGAUGGACCCGCGUCUGAUUAGCUAGUUGGUGAGAUAACUGCCCACCAAGGCGACGAUCAGUAGCCGACCUGAGAGGGUGAUCGGCCACAUUGGAACUGAGACACGGUCCAAACUCCUACGGGAGGCAGCAGUGGGGAAUAUUGCACAAUGGGCGCAAGCCUGAUGCAGCAACGCCGCGUGAACGAUGAAGGUCUUCGGAUCGUAAAGUUCUGUUGCAGGGGAAGAUAAUGACGGUACCCUGUGAGGAAGCCCCGGCUAACUACGUGCCAGCAGCCGCGGUAAUACGUAGGGGGCUAGCGUUAUCCGGAUUUACUGGGCGUAAAGGGUGCGUAGGUGGUCUUUCAAGUCGGUGGUUAAAGGCUACGGCUCAACCGUAGUUAGCCUCCGAAACUGGAAGACUUGAGUGCAGGAGAGGAGAGUGGAAUUCCCAGUGUAGCGGUGAAAUGCGUAGAUAUUGGGAGGAACACCAGUAGCGAAGGCGGCUUUCUGGACUGCAACUGACACUGAGGCACGAAAGCGUGGGUAGCAAACAGG
This 737-nucleotide ribosomal RNA is filed under the name Peptostreptococcus anaerobius. RNAcentral describes it as "bacterial SSU rRNA". It matches the Rfam family "Bacterial small subunit ribosomal RNA", at positions 28 to 776 of the family's 1533-position model. Lineage: Bacteria; Bacillati; Bacillota; Clostridia; Peptostreptococcales; Peptostreptococcaceae. The record is from RNAcentral.